This 460-nucleotide ribosomal RNA is filed under the name uncultured bacterium. Its description in RNAcentral is "partial 16S ribosomal RNA". It matches the Rfam family "Bacterial small subunit ribosomal RNA", at positions 338 to 795 of the family's 1533-position model. The record is from RNAcentral.
CCUACGGGUGGCAGCAGUGGGGAAUAUUGGUCAAUGGACGAGAGUCUGAACCAGCCAAGUAGCGUGAAGGAUGACUGCCCUAUGGGUUGUAAACUUCUUUUAUAUGGGAAUAAAAUGUUCCACGUGUGGGAUUUUGUAUGUACCAUAUGAAUAAGGAUCGGCUAACUCCGUGCCAGCAGCCGCGGUAAUGCGGAGGAUCCGAGCGUUAUCCGGAUUUAUUGGGUUUAAAGGGAGCGUAGGUGGAUUGUUAAGUCAGUUGUGAAAGUUUGCGGCUCAACCGUAAAAUUGCAGUUGAAACUGGCAGUCUUGAGUACAGUAGAGGUGGGCGGAAUUCGUGGUGUAGCGGUGAAAUGCUUAGAUAUCACGAAGAACUCCGAUUGCGAAGGCAGUUCACUGGACUGCAACUGACACUGAGGCUCGAAAGUGUGGGUAUCAAACAGGAUUAGAUACCCGAGUAGUC